CAUUUAUUAGAUAAAAAGCCAAUGCAUGCUUUUACAGUAUGAAAAUUGGUGAUUUAUAAUAACUUAGCAAAUCGCAAAGUGAAAACAGGCGAUAAAUCAUUCAAGUUUCUGACCUAUCAGCUUUCGACGGUAUGGUAUUGGCUUACCGUGGCAGUGACGGUUAACGGGGGAUUAGGGUUCGAUUCCGGAGAGGGAGCCUGAGAAACGGCUACCACAUCUAAGGAAGGCAGCAGGCGCGCAAAUUACCCAAUUCUAACAGUUUGAGAGAGGUAGUAACAAGAAAUAACAAUACAAGGCAGUUAAAAUGCUUUGUAAUUGGAAUGAUAGAAAUUUAAACCCUUUUUAAAGUAUCAAUUGGAGGGCAAGUCUGGUGCCAGCAGCCGCGGUAAUUCCAGCUCCAAUAGCGUAUAUUAAAAUUGUUGCAGUUAAAAAGCUCGUAGUUGAAGUUCUGCUAAAAGUAACCGGUCUGCUUUUAAUAAAGGUGGUAUCUUGGUGUGUAUUUAGCAAUGAUGUCCUUUGAAGUGUUUUUUACUUUAUUGUAAUAAAGCAUAUUCAGGACUUUUACUUGAGAAAAUUAGAGUG
RNAcentral lists this ribosomal RNA (582 nucleotides) under Hepatozoon canis. RNAcentral's name for it is "SSU rRNA". It matches the Rfam family "Eukaryotic small subunit ribosomal RNA", at positions 203 to 773 of the family's 1831-position model. The record is from RNAcentral. Lineage: Eukaryota; Apicomplexa; Hepatozoidae.